Molecule: ribosomal RNA, 843 nt
Filed under: Triticum aestivum (bread wheat)
Lineage: Eukaryota; Viridiplantae; Streptophyta; Magnoliopsida; Poales; Poaceae
Description: partial small subunit ribosomal RNA
Source: RNAcentral
AUGGCGUCCCUCGACGCAGCGCUCCUACGCGGCCGCUGCCACCGCCCCGCCGCCCGCCGCACUCCUCCUCCGCUGGCCGCGGCCGCCGCCCGCCUCCACUCCUUCGCCUGCCGUGGUUCUCCGUCAGCCGCAACCGCCGCCGCGGCGUCCGCCUGCCUCCGCUCCUUCCCCUGCUACGCUCCUCCGCCCGCCGCAGCCGCCGCGGCCUUCGCUGCCUCAACCAACUUGUUGUUGCGCCUGCGCCGCCGUCGCCCGGCCCCGAGCUCGCCGCGCCCACCACCCGCUCGCCACGCCCCGCCCGGCCCCGAGCUCGCCGCGUCGCCCCCACCCCGAGUUCGCCGUGCCGUGCGCCCUCCCCGAGCUCGCUGCGCCGCAGCCGGCCCCGAGCUCGCCGCGCUCGCCGGCAAGCGACCCGAUCGCGCGGAGCAACGAGGCACCGGCGAGGGUGGUGGGCGCGAAGUAGGCGCCGGCGAGCUGCAACCUUCCCUGCCUCCGUUCGUUGACGAGGCCAACGACGGCGCCCUCGAUCCCAUCUCUUCCGACCGACAUAGAGAGAAGAAAAGGGUAAGGUGCGGGUCACUGAUUUGUGGUGCCAGGGCGGACACGAGAAGCCACCAGCGGAUGGGAGCGGACGACGGGAGCGCUCGCUUUUGUCCGUCGCGGACCCAUUUCUUCCCAUAUUUGUGUUCAGUUUGGGUCGGCGACGGACAGCAAGCGGGCAGCGGGCGGACGCUUUGUCCAUUUAGGUCGUCCCGUUGGGUCAUCUUUUCUGUCCGGAUGACCCAAAUGAAUAAAAUGGGUCGCACCAUUGAAGUUGCUCUGACUGUAAUCGGCACUCUAUGA